This 253-nucleotide ribosomal RNA is filed under the name uncultured bacterium. Its description in RNAcentral is "partial 16S ribosomal RNA". It matches the Rfam family "Bacterial small subunit ribosomal RNA", at positions 524 to 776 of the family's 1533-position model. The record is from RNAcentral.
UACGUAGGGGACAAGCGUUAUCCGGAUUUACUGGGCGUAAAGGGAGCGUAGGCGGAUAAUUAAGUGGGAUGUGAAAUACCCGGGCUCAACCUGGGUGCUGCAUUCCAAACUAGUUAUCUAGAGUGCAGGAGAGGAGAGUGGAAUUCCUAGUGUAGCGGUGAAAUGCGUAGAGAUUAGGAAGAACACCAGUGGCGAAGGCGACUCUCUGGACUGUAACUGACGCUGAGGCUCGAAAGCGUGGGGAGCAAACAGG